AGGGCACACGGUGGAUGCCUUGGCGCCAGGAGCCGAUGAAGGACGGGACGAACACCGAUAUGCUUCGGGGAGCUGUAAGUGAGCUUUGAUCCGGAGAUUUCCGAAUGGGGCAACCCACUUGCUUGAAGAGCAAGUACUGCCACCUGAAUCCAUAGGGUGGUAAGAGGCAGACCGGGGGAACUGAAACAUCUAAGUACCCCGAGGAAGAGAAAGCAAACGCGAUUCCCUGAGUAGCGGCGAGCGAAACGGGAUUAGCCCAAACCAAACAUCUUUGAUAUUUGGGGUUGUAGGGCGUCUCACUAGGAGUUAUCAAGGAAGCAGGUACCAGAAGUGGUUCUGGAAAGCCCCGCCAUAGCAGGUAACAGCCCUGUAUGGAAAACUUGCUUCCCUCCGAGACGGACCCUGAGUACGGCGGGACACGUGAAACCCCGUCGGAAUCCGGGAGGACCACCUCCCAAGGCUAAAUACUACCUGGCGACCGAUAGUGAACCAGUACCGUGAGGGAAAGGUGAAAAGCACCCCGAGAGGGGAGUGAAAUAGAUCCUGAAACCGUGUGCUUACAAUCAGUCGGAGCGGGCUUGACCCGUGACGGCGUGCCUUUUGUAGAAUGAACCGGCGAGUAACGGUUGCGUGCAAGGUUAAGGCGAGAAGCUGGAGCCGCAGCGAAAGCGAGUCUGAAUAGGGCGUGCAGUACGUAGUCGUUGACCCGAAACCAAGUGAUCUACCCAUGGCCAGGAUGAAGUUGCGGUAACACGCAAUGGAGGUCCGAACCUGUUGAUGUUGAAAAAUCAUAGGAUGAGCUGUGGGUAGCGGAGAAAUUCCAAUCGAACUUGGAGAUAGCUGGUUCUCCCCGAAAUAGCUUUAGGGCUAGCCUUAGAGUAAGAGUCAUGGAGGUAGAGCACUGAUUGGGCUAGGGGCCCUUCCCGGGUUACCGAACUCAGUCAAACUCCGAAUGCCAUCGACUUAUCUCUAGGAGUCAGACUGCGAGUGCUAAGAUCCGUAGUCAAGAGGGAAACAGCCCAGACCACCAGCUAAGGUCCCUAAAUAAUGGUUCAGUGGAAAAGGAUGUGGAGUUGCUCAGACAACCAGGAUGUUGGCUUAGAAGCAGCCACCAUUCAAAGAGUGCGUAAUAGCUCACUGGUCAAGUGACUCUGCGCCGAAAAUGUAACGGGGCUAAACCAUUUACCGAAGCUGUGGAUGACAUUGUCAUGGUAGGGGAGCGUUCCUAAUGCAGCGAAGCUGCAUCGUGAGAUGUGGUGGAGCGUUAGGAAGUGAGAAUGCCGGUAUGAGUAGCGAAAAGAGGGGUGAGAAUCCCCUCCACCGUAAGCCUAAGGUUUCCUGAGCAAGGUUCGUCCUCUCAGGGUUAGUCGGGACCUAAGCCGAGGCCGAAAGGCGUAGGCGAUGGACAACAGGUUGAGAUUCCUGUACCACCAAGAUUCGUUUGUACGAUGGGGGGACGCAGGAGGAUAGAGAAUGCGUGCGACUGGAAGUGCACGUCCAAGCAGUUAGGCUGUCUGAUAGGCAAAUCCGUCAGACAUCAAGGCUGAGCUGUGAUGGGGAGGGAAAUUUAUAGUACCGAAGUUCUCAAUUCCACACUGCCAAGAAAAGCCUCUAGGAGAGUCUUGGUGCCCGUACCGCAAACCGACACAGGUAGGCGAGGAGAGAAUCCUCAGGUGCUCGGGAGAACUCUCGUUAAGGAACUCGGCAAAAUGACCCCGUAACUUCGGGAGAAGGGGUGCCCCCUUGUGGGGGCCGCAGUGAAGAGGUCCAGGCGACUGUUUAGCAAAAACACAGGUCUCUGCGAAGCCGUAAGGCGAAGUAUAGGGGCUGACGCCUGCCCGGUGCUGGAAGGUUAAGGGGAUGUGUUAGCUUAAAGCGAAGCAUUGAACUGAAGCCCCAGUAAACGGCGGCCGUAACUAUAACGGUCCUAAGGUAGCGAAAUUCCUUGUCGGGUAAGUUCCGACCCGCACGAAAGGCGUAACGAUCUGGACGCUGUCUCAACGAGAGACCCGGUGAAAUUGUACUGCCAGUGAAGAUGCUGGCUACCCGCGACAAGACGGAAAGACCCCGUGGAGCUUUACUGCAGCUUGAUAUUGAUCUCGGGUACGACUUGUACAGGAUAGGUGGGAGUCGAUGAUUUGGGGACGCCAGUCUCCAAGGAGACGUCGGUGGGAUACCACUCUGGUCGUAUCGGAGUUCUAACUCAGAACCGUCAUCCGGUUCGAGGACCGUGUCAGGCAGGCAGUUUGACUGGGGCGGUCGCCUCCUAAAAUGUAACGGAGGCGCUCCAAGGUUCCCUCAGCGCGGUCGGAAAUCGCGCCUAUAGAGUGCAAAGGCAUAAGGGAGCUUGACUGCGAGACCUACAAGUCGAGCAGGGACGAAAGUCGGACUUAGUGAUCCGGUGGUUCCUUGUGGAAGGGCCAUCNGGAAGCAUGGUAACAUGUGUAGCUGACAGAUACGAAUCGGUCGAGGGCUUUUCCUCACAUGUCUUACUUUUCGAUUUGCAAUACACUUGGCCUUCUGUUCUAAUUUUCAGGGUGUGACAUAUUUCAUAUGUCUUGACACUGACUGUCUGGUGAUAAUGGCGGAGGGGUCCCACUCGUUCCCAUCCCGAACACGAUCGUUAAGCCCUCCAGCGCCGAUGGUACUUGGACCGCAGGGUCCUGGGAGAGUAGGUCAUUGCCAGGCAAACCAAAAACCACUUAGUUGCUACUUCAGUAGUCUAAGUGGUUUUUUAUCAUGAACUGAAACUAAAGUUUCAGCUUUUAACCUC
Molecule: ribosomal RNA, 2773 nt
Filed under: Risungbinella massiliensis
Lineage: Bacteria; Bacillati; Bacillota; Bacilli; Caryophanales; Thermoactinomycetaceae
Source: RNAcentral